RNAcentral lists this ribosomal RNA (484 nucleotides) under uncultured bacterium. RNAcentral describes it as "partial 16S ribosomal RNA". It matches the Rfam family "Bacterial small subunit ribosomal RNA", at positions 29 to 523 of the family's 1533-position model. The record is from RNAcentral.
AGUGAACGCUGGCGGCGUGCUUAACACAUGCAAGUCGAACGAGAACGGGCUAUAGCUUGCUAUAGUUGUCAGCUAAGUGGCGCACGGGUGAGUAAUGUAUAGGUAAUAUGCCUCUUACUAAGGGAUAACAAAUGGAAACGUUUGCUAAUACCUUAUACUCCUUAUUAACCUAAGUUAAUAAGGGAAAGAUUUAUUGGUAAGAGAUUAGCCUGUAUUGUAUCAGUUAGUUGGUGGGGUAAUGGCUUACCAAGACUAUGACACAUAACUGGUUUGAGAGGAUGAUCAGUCACACUGGAACUGAGACACGGUCCAGACUCCUACGGGAGGCAGCAGUGGGGAGUAUUGCACAAUGGACGAAAGUCUGAUGCAGCAACGCCGCGUGGAGGAUGACACAUUUCGGUGCGUAAACUCCUUUUAUAUGAGAAGAUAAUGACGGUAUUAUAUGAAUAAGCACCGGCUAACUCCGUGCCAGCAGCCGCAGUAA